RNAcentral lists this unclassified non-coding RNA (329 nucleotides) under soil metagenome. RNAcentral's name for it is "partial contains 5.8S ribosomal RNA, internal transcribed spacer 2, and large subunit ribosomal RNA". The stretch from base 1 to 120 matches the Rfam family "5.8S ribosomal RNA", at positions 35 to 154 of the family's 154-position model. The record is from RNAcentral.
GAUGAAGAACGUAGUGAAAUGCGAUAAGUAAUGUGAAUUGCAGAAUUCAGUGAAUCAUCGAAUCUUUGAACGCACAUUGCGCCCCCUGGCAUUCCGGGGGGCAUGCCUGUUCGAGCGUCAUUACAACCCUCAAGCUCUGCUUGGUAUUGGGCUCUGCCGGACCCGGCAGGCCUUAAAAUCAGUGGCGGUGCCACUCGGCUUCAAGCGUAGUAAUUCUUCUCGCUUCGGAGACCCGGGUGCGUGCUAGCCAGCAACCCCCAACUUUCUCAGGUUGACCUCGGAUCAGGUAGGAAUACCAGCUGAACUUAAGCAUAUCAAUAAGCGGAGGA